AUCAUGGCAAUCGGAAUCGGAUCCAAGAAGCUUGAACAUCAUCCGGGACACUUUGUGGGCUCUAUUUAGAUGAUCAGUCAACACAAGGGAAAGACUUGAGUUACUUCCAACAGGGGUCUAUUCGUCAGUCAAAACGGUAAUCUUGAAGGAGCAAAGAUUUGUUCAUGAGCUGUCAUGCUCGCUAGGCGAAGCCCACGUGUUUUGAGAAAAAAAAAACAAAAAAAAACGAAAAAAAAAACAAAAUAAAUAAAUAAAUAAAAUGGAAAACGAAAAAAAAAGAAAAGUAAAUAAAUAAAUAAAAGAAAAAAUCUUGGACUUGGACCUCUCUCAUUUGAGCCAACAGGUCCACAAAAAUCAGGUUAUAAAUUCAGAGUUUCAGUGAAACAAAAGGCCAUUCUAUUCCUAUUACCCUGUCUGGGAAAAAGAUAGUGAGAGAAGAACCCUGGGGAAAAAGAUAGUGAGAGAAGAGCUAACAGAGUUCAG
This 483-nucleotide long non-coding RNA is filed under the name Lathyrus oleraceus (garden pea). RNAcentral describes it as "Pisum sativum (pea) long non-coding RNA (PSAT_LNC033645)". The record is from RNAcentral. Lineage: Eukaryota; Viridiplantae; Streptophyta; Magnoliopsida; Fabales; Fabaceae.